Molecule: ribosomal RNA, 429 nt
Filed under: Bacillota bacterium
Lineage: Bacteria; Bacillati; Bacillota
Description: Firmicutes bacterium partial 16S ribosomal RNA
Rfam family: Bacterial small subunit ribosomal RNA
Source: RNAcentral
UGGGGAAUUUUGGACAAUGGGCGAAAGCCUGAUCCAGCAAUGCCGCGUGCAGGAUGAAGGCCCUCGGGUUGUAAACUGCUUUUGUACGGAACGAAAAGCCUGGGGCUAAUAUCCCCGGGUCAUGACGGUACCGUAAGAAUAAGCACCGGCUAACUACGUGCCAGCAGCCGCGGUAAUACGUAGGGUGCAAGCGUUAAUCGGAAUUACUGGGCGUAAAGCGUGCGCAGACGGUUUUGUAAGACAGUGGUGAAAUCCCCGGGCUCAACCUGGGAACUGCCAUUGUGACUGCAAGGCUAGAGUGCGGCAGAGGGGGAUGGAAUUCCGCGUGUAGCAGUGAAAUGCGUAGAUAUGCGGAGGAACACCGAUGGCGAAGGCAAUCCCCUGGGCCUGCACUGACGCUCAUGCACGAAAGCGUGGGGAGCAAACAGG